GGAGGGAUGGCCGAGUCUGGCUUAAGGCGGCGGUCUUGAAAACCGCUGAGGCGAAAGCCUCCGUGGGUUCAAAUCCUACUCCCUCCGCCA
This 90-nucleotide transfer RNA is filed under the name Deltaproteobacteria bacterium. Its description in RNAcentral is "tRNA-Ser". It matches the Rfam family "tRNA". From Rfam's summary of the family: Transfer RNA (tRNA) molecules are approximately 80 nucleotides in length. Lineage: Bacteria; Pseudomonadati; Myxococcota; Myxococcia. The record is from RNAcentral.